AUGCAGUCGUACGCUUCUUUUUCCACCGGAGCUUGCUCCACCGGAAAAAGAAGAGUGGCGAACGGGUGAGUAACACGUGGGUAACCUGCCCAUCAGAAGGGGAUAACACUUGGAAACAGGUGCUAAUACCGUAUAACAAUCGAAACCGCAUGGUUUUGAUUUGAAAGGCGCUUUCGGGUGUCGCUGAUGGAUGGACCCGCGGUGCAUUAGCUAGUUGGUGAGGUAACGGCUCACCAAGGCCACGAUGCAUAGCCGACCUGAGAGGGUGAUCGGCCACAUUGGGACUGAGACACGGCCCAAACUCCUACGGGAGGCAGCAGUAGGGAAUCUUCGGCAAUGGACGAAAGUCUGACCGAGCAACGCCGCGUGAGUGAAGAAGGUUUUCGGAUCGUAAAACUCUGUUGUUAGAGAAGAACAAGGAUGAGAGUAACUGUUCAUCCCUUGACGGUAUCUAACCAGAAAGCCACGGCUAACUACGUGCCAGCAGCCGCGGUAAUACGUAGGUGGCAAGCGUUGUCCGGAUUUAUUGGGCGUAAAGCGAGCGCAGGCGGUUUCUUAAGUCUGAUGUGAAAGCCCCCGGCUCAACCGGGGAGGGUCAUUGGAAACUGGGAGACUUGAGUGCAGAAGAGGAGAGUGGAAUUCCAUGUGUAGCGGUGAAAUGCGUAGAUAUAUGGAGGAACACCAGUGGCGAAGGCGGCUCUCUGGUCUGUAACUGACGCUGAGGCUCGAAAGCGUGGGGAGCAAACAGGAUUAGAUACCCUGGUAGUCCACGCCGUAAACGAUGAGUGCUAAGUGUUGGAGGGUUUCCGCCCUUCAGUGCUGCAGCUAACGCAUUAAGCACUCCGCCUGGGGAGUACGACCGCAAGGUUGAAACUCAAAGGAAUUGACGGGGGCCCGCACAAGCGGUGGAGCAUGUGGUUUAAUUCGAAGCAACGCGAAGAACCUUACCAGGUCUUGACAUCCUUUGACCACUCUAGAGAUAGAGCUUCCCCUUCGGGGGCAAAGUGAC
This 1009-nucleotide ribosomal RNA is filed under the name Enterococcus durans. RNAcentral describes it as "bacterial SSU rRNA". It matches the Rfam family "Bacterial small subunit ribosomal RNA", at positions 55 to 1035 of the family's 1533-position model. The record is from RNAcentral. Lineage: Bacteria; Bacillati; Bacillota; Bacilli; Lactobacillales; Enterococcaceae.